CCCCUCUCAGGGUUGCACCUGGAGAGUUUCCAGUCCUCUACCGGUCUUGGCUAUGGGAAGGAGAGUCAAGCAGAGGCCUACCCAUUCCAAUCCUAGCUUGGGCAGUGGCUAGCGAGUGGAAAGCAAUUUGCUACAAGU
Molecule: small nucleolar RNA, 138 nt
Filed under: Ornithorhynchus anatinus (platypus)
Lineage: Eukaryota; Metazoa; Chordata; Mammalia; Monotremata; Ornithorhynchidae
Source: RNAcentral